RNAcentral lists this ribosomal RNA (254 nucleotides) under uncultured bacterium. RNAcentral describes it as "partial 16S ribosomal RNA". It matches the Rfam family "Bacterial small subunit ribosomal RNA", at positions 523 to 776 of the family's 1533-position model. The record is from RNAcentral.
UAACGAAGGGGGCUAGCGUUGUUCGGAAUUACUGGGCGUAAAGGCGUGCGCAGGCGGCUUCUCAAGUCAGGGGUGAAAGCCCAGAGCUACAACUCUGGAAUUGCUUUUGAGACUGAGUGCUUGAGUACGAGAGAGGUGAGUGGAAUUCCAGUGUAGAGGUGAAAUUCGUAGAUAUUGGGAAGAACACCGGUGGCGAAGGCGGCUCACUGGCUCGUAACUGACGCUCAUGCACGACAGCGUGGGGAUCAAACAGG